GACGAACGCUGGCGGCGUGCUUAACACAUGCAAGUCGAACGGAAAGGCCCUGCUUUUGUGGGGUGCUCGAGUGGCGAACGGGUGAGUAACACGUGAGUAACCUGCCCUUGACUUUGGGAUAACUUCAGGAAACUGGGGCUAAUACCGGAUAGGAGCUCCUGCUGCAUGGUGGGGGUUGGAAAGUUUCGGCGGUUGGGGAUGGACUCGCGGCUUAUCAGCUUGUUGGUGGGGUAGUGGCUUACCAAGGCUUUGACGGGUAGCCGGCCUGAGAGGGUGACCGGCCACAUUGGGACUGAGAGACGGCCCAGACUCCUAAGGGAGGCAGCAGGGGGAAAUAUUGCAAAAUGGGCGGAAGCCUGAUGCAGCAACGCCGCGUGCGGGAUGACGGCCUUCGGGUUGUAAACCGCUUUCGCCUGUGACGAAGCGUGAGUGACGGUAAUGGGUAAAGAAGCACCGGCUAACUACGUG
RNAcentral lists this ribosomal RNA (468 nucleotides) under uncultured bacterium. RNAcentral's name for it is "partial 16S ribosomal RNA". It matches the Rfam family "Bacterial small subunit ribosomal RNA", at positions 28 to 507 of the family's 1533-position model. The record is from RNAcentral.